Molecule: ribosomal RNA, 506 nt
Filed under: uncultured bacterium
Lineage: Bacteria
Description: partial 16S ribosomal RNA
Rfam family: Bacterial small subunit ribosomal RNA
Source: RNAcentral
AGUGAACGCUGGCGGUAGGCCUAACACAUGCAAGUCGAACGGCAGCACAGGAGAGCUUGCUCUCUGGGUGGCGAGUGGCGGACGGGUGAGGAAUACAUCGGAAUCUACUCUGUCGUGGGGGAUAACGUAGGGAAACUUACGCUAAUACCGCAUACGACCUACGGGUGAAAGCAGGGGAUCUUCGGACCUUGCGCGAUUGAAUGAGCCGAUGUCGGAUUAGCUAGUUGGCGGGGUAAAGGCCCACCAAGGCGACGAUCCGUAGCUGGUCUGAGAGGAUGAUCAGCAACACUGGAACUGGGACACGGUCCAGACUCCUACGGGAGGCAGCAGUGGGGAAUAUUGGACAAUGGGCGCAAGCCUGAUUCAGCCAUACCGCGUGGGUGAAGAAGGCCUUCGGGUUGUAAAGCCCUUUUGUUGGGAAAGAAAUCCAGCUGGCUAAUACCCGGUUGGGAUGACGGUACCCAAAGAAUAAGCACCGGCUAACUUCGUGCCAGCCGCCGCAGUAA